UUGAUUCUGGUCACAUGAUUUAAUUAAAUGAACCCUUUUUUAUUUGCUGUCACGUUUUUUCCUUGGACCAGGCCCUGCACCGCUGUUAUCAGUACCCCACGUUCAGGCCCACUCAUAUUAUCCAUUCAUUUUCUUUUAAUUUUGUUAUUCUUAUUUUAUUUUGCUGUUUUUGUUUUUAAUUCAUAAAAAAUAUUUUAUUUAUUCAAAAAAAUACUUUUCACAUUUUUCAAUGUUUU
This 236-nucleotide long non-coding RNA is filed under the name Lathyrus oleraceus (garden pea). Its description in RNAcentral is "Pisum sativum (pea) long non-coding RNA (PSAT_LNC005095)". The record is from RNAcentral. Lineage: Eukaryota; Viridiplantae; Streptophyta; Magnoliopsida; Fabales; Fabaceae.